This 436-nucleotide unclassified non-coding RNA is filed under the name uncultured soil eukaryote. RNAcentral describes it as "sequence contains 5.8S rRNA gene, ITS2, 28S rRNA gene". The record is from RNAcentral.
AACGCAAAUGGCGCUCUCGGGAUAGGCCUGAGAGCACGUGUCUUUGAGCAUCGAUUAAACAAACCCUCGACGGCGUGCUUUGUGAAAACGAGGCGCGCGCAGUCGGAAUUUGAGUCUUCUCGUUCGCACGAGUGACUUUAAAUGCAGCGAGCUGUGGGUCUUUGCGGGUGUUUGAGAGGUUCGUCCUUUCAUAGCCUUGCGCAAUUGGGCAACUGCCUUUAACUGGCACGAGUCGCUAGCUAUGUGGAUAAUUUCACAAACUCUGUGAAUCUUCCCAAACAUGGUUAGGUCAGACGGAACCAGGGCUUUUGACCGGCGCUUGUGCGACAAGCACUGCUCAGCUCACAGUGGACCUGUUUGCUGUGCUCGUAUGAGUGCAACAAACACUUUACUUGAAUUAGAUCUCAAAUGAGACGAGAAUACCCGCCGAACUUAA